Molecule: ribosomal RNA, 328 nt
Filed under: uncultured eukaryote
Lineage: Eukaryota
Description: partial 18S ribosomal RNA
Rfam family: Eukaryotic small subunit ribosomal RNA
Source: RNAcentral
CCCUUAGAUGUCCUGGGCCGCACGCGCGUUACACUGAUGCAUUCAACGAGCUUAUAACCUUGGCCGAGAGGCCUGGGCAAUCUUGUUAGCGUGCAUCGUGAUAGGGAUAGAUUAUUGAAAUUAUUAAUCUUGAACGAGGAAUUCCUAGUAAACGCAGAUCAUCAAUCUGCAUUGAUUACGUCCCUGCCCUUUGUACACACCGCCCGUCGCACCUACCGAUUGGAUGGUCCGGUGAAGCCUCGGGAUUGUGGUUCUUGCCGCUUUAUUGUGGCGUGACCGCGAGAACUUGUCUAAACCUUAUCAUCUAGAGGAAGGUGAAGUCGUAACA